AUCUUCUUAUUAGGUCCCCAUGCGAUUUCCACAAACAAAGCUCUUGAAUCGUAGAGAUAUGCUGCAAACCUUCCGGAAGAAACCUCAAAUUCAAACAAUGUUUAAGAAGCGUCUUCAAACUUUGAAAAGCCCCAUUUACAAUCUCAGUCCACUCCACUAGAUCCCUUGACUUAAUUGACAAUCUUUCCAGCUGCGGAUAUCCACCUAUCUCGCAAAACUCUUUACCAAUGAUCUUUG
This 237-nucleotide unclassified non-coding RNA is filed under the name Hevea brasiliensis (rubber tree). The record is from RNAcentral. Lineage: Eukaryota; Viridiplantae; Streptophyta; Magnoliopsida; Malpighiales; Euphorbiaceae.